AUCGAACGCUGGCGGAAUGCUUUACACAUGCAAGUCGAACGGCAGCACGGACUUCGGUCUGGUGGCGAGUGGCGAACGGGUGAGUAAUACAUCGGAACGUGCCCAGUCGUGGGGGAUAACGUAGCGAAAGCUACGCUAAUACCGCAUACGAUCUAAGGAUGAAAGCGGGGGAUCGCAAGACCUCGCGCGAUUGGAGCGGCCGAUGGCAGAUUAGGUAGUUGGUAGGGUAAAGGGCUACCAAGCCGACGAUCUGUAGCUGGUCUGAGAGGACGACCAGCCAAACUGGGACUUAGACACGGCCCAGACUCCUACGGGAGGCAGCAGUGGGGAAUUUUGGACAAUGGACGCAAGUCUGAUCCAGCCAUUCCGCGUGCAGGAUGAAGGCCCUCGGGUUGUAAACUGCUUUUGUACAGAACGAAAAGGCUCUGGUUAAUACCUGGAGCUCAUGACGGUACUGUAAGAAUAAGCACCGGCUAACUACGUGCCAGCCGCCGCCGUAA
This 500-nucleotide ribosomal RNA is filed under the name uncultured bacterium. RNAcentral describes it as "partial 16S ribosomal RNA". It matches the Rfam family "Bacterial small subunit ribosomal RNA", at positions 30 to 523 of the family's 1533-position model. The record is from RNAcentral.